RNAcentral lists this ribosomal RNA (559 nucleotides) under uncultured Ideonella sp. Its description in RNAcentral is "bacterial SSU rRNA". It matches the Rfam family "Bacterial small subunit ribosomal RNA", at positions 969 to 1532 of the family's 1533-position model. Lineage: Bacteria; Pseudomonadati; Pseudomonadota; Betaproteobacteria; Burkholderiales; Sphaerotilaceae. The record is from RNAcentral.
CCUUACCUACCCUUGACAUGGCAGGAAUCCUGAAGAGAUUUGGGAGUGCUCGAAAGAGAACCUGCACACAGGUGCUGCAUGGCCGUCGUCAGCUCGUGUCGUGAGAUGUUGGGUUAAGUCCCGCAACGAGCGCAACCCUUGUCAUUAGUUGCUACGAAAGGGCACUCUAAUGAGACUGCCGGUGACAAACCGGAGGAAGGUGGGGAUGACGUCAGGUCCUCAUGGCCCUUAUGGGUAGGGCUACACACGUCAUACAAUGGCCGGUACAGAGGGCUGCCAACCCGCGAGGGGGAGCCAAUCCCAGAAAACCGGUCGUAGUCCGGAUCGCAGUCUGCAACUCGACUGCGUGAAGUCGGAAUCGCUAGUAAUCGCGGAUCAGAAUGUCGCGGUGAAUACGUUCCCGGGUCUUGUACACACCGCCCGUCACACCAUGGGAGCGGGUUCUGCCAGAAGUAGUUAGCCUAACCGCAAGGGGGGCGAUUACCACGGCAGGGUUCGUGACUGGGGUGAAGUCGUAACAAGGUAGCCGUAUCGGAAGGUGCGGCUGGAUCACCUCCUU